ACGGCUCAGUAACACGUGGACAAUCUAACCUACGGAAGGGGAUAACCCCGGGAAACUGGGGAUAAUACCCUAUAGACUAUGGAUGCUGGAAUGCUCUGUAGCUGAAAGGUCCGCCGCCGUAGGAUGGGUCUGCGGCCGAUUAGGUUGUUGUUGGGGUAACGGCCCAACAAGCCUGUAAUCGGUACGGGUUGUGGGAGCAAGAGCCCGGAGAUGGAUUCUGAGACACGAAUCCAGGCCCUACGGGGCGCAGCAGGCGCGAAAACUUUACAAUGCGGGAAACCGUGAUAAGGGAACUCUGAGUGCCCGUUAAAUCGGGCUGUCCAUCAGUUUAAAAAACUGGUGAAGAAAGGGCCGGGCAGGACCGGUGCCAGCCGCCGCGGUAAUACCGGCGGCUCGAGUGGUGGCCACUAUUACUGGGCUUAAAGCGUUCGUAGCUGGUCUGUUAAGUCUCUGGGGAAAUCUACUGGCUUAACCAAUAGGCGUUUCAGGGAUACUGGCAGACUAGGGACCGGGAGAGGUGAGAGGUACUCCAGGGGUAGGAGUGAAAUCCUGUAAUCCUUGGGGGACCACCUGUGGCGAAGGCGUCUCGCCAGAACGGCUCCGACAGUGAGGGACGAAAGCUGGGGGAGCAAACCGGAUUAGAUACCCGGGUAGUCCCAGCUGUAAACGAUGCGCGUUAGGUGUAUCGGUGACCACGAGUCAUCGAGGUGCCGAAGAGAAAUCGUGAAACGUGCCGCCUGGGAAGUACGGUCGCAAGGCUGAAACUUAAAGGAAUUGGCGGGGGAGCAC
RNAcentral lists this ribosomal RNA (789 nucleotides) under uncultured archaeon. RNAcentral's name for it is "bacterial SSU rRNA". It matches the Rfam family "Archaeal small subunit ribosomal RNA", at positions 85 to 879 of the family's 1478-position model. The record is from RNAcentral.